UCUGCCAGUGUCUGUGUCAGCAUGACUGUACCAGGUCACAAUAAUGGCUGCCAUCAAUGUCUCUGUCCCUGGAGAGGCCUCACUUCUCACUGAGAUGCCCACAGAACCUAUCAGGUGAGUCUCUUUUCACCAAAGGACUGUCAGCCUUCUCUAUG
This is a non-coding RNA of Ceratotherium simum simum (southern white rhinoceros), 155 nucleotides long. The record is from RefSeq and is a predicted model, not a curated record. NCBI's taxonomy places the organism in Eukaryota, Metazoa, Chordata, Mammalia, Perissodactyla, Rhinocerotidae.